AUGGUGGAUGGUAAUAGGUCCUUUCAUGUUUGUACGUGGAGGAUAGUUGCAUGUCUUUAUCUCCGAAUCAUUUAAGUCAUCAACCAUUCUCUUUUUCUCAUUCUACCAUGAAUUGCUGAUUGGGUUUGCAUGUCUUUAUCUCCAUAGCUCUCAUCCUUGGAGAUGGACUCUAUAACUUCAUCAAAGUACUGUCUUUCACCAUCAGAAGCUUCCAUGGUAGAUUGAAAUGGAAGGACCCUCAGAACAGGCCCUUGUUUACAUGUUACCACAUUCACGCGCAUGUUCGAUGAUAGCAAAAGGGAUGGGUAGUUCAAUUGCAAGAAGAGAAUCAUUGCAUGUGAGUUGUCUGCGUUAUAAAACACAACUUUCUUGAUUGUAAUCUUGUCACCUACCCUAUUGAAUAAUGACAACUGUUCAAGGUCUCCAUUAAAUAUGAACCAUUGGUUGUAAC
Magnolia sinica is the source of this 451-nucleotide long non-coding RNA. RefSeq lists it as uncharacterized. The record is from RefSeq and is a predicted model, not a curated record. The transcript has 2 exons. Lineage: Eukaryota; Viridiplantae; Streptophyta; Magnoliopsida; Magnoliales; Magnoliaceae.